RNAcentral lists this ribosomal RNA (467 nucleotides) under uncultured Pseudomonas sp. RNAcentral describes it as "bacterial SSU rRNA". It matches the Rfam family "Bacterial small subunit ribosomal RNA", at positions 337 to 797 of the family's 1533-position model. The record is from RNAcentral. Lineage: Bacteria; Pseudomonadati; Pseudomonadota; Gammaproteobacteria; Pseudomonadales; Pseudomonadaceae.
UCCUACGGGUGGCUGCAGUGGGGAAUAUUGGACAAUGGGCGAAAGCCUGAUCCAGCCAUGCCGCGUGUGUGAAGAAGGUCUUCGGAUUGUAAAGCACUUUAAGUUGGGAGGAAGAGCAGUAAGCUAAUACCUUGCUGUUUGACGUUACCAACAGAAUAAGCACCGGCUAACUCUGUGCCAGCAGCCGCGGUAAUACAGAGGGUGCAAGCGUUAAUCGGAAUUACUGGGCGUAAAGCGCGCGUAGGUGGUUCAGCAAGUUGGAUGUGAAAGCCCCGGGCUCAACCUGGGAACUGCAUCCAAAACUACUGAGCUAGAGUACGGUAGAGGGUGGUGGAAUUUCCUGUGUAGCGGUGAAAUGCGUAGAUAUAGGAAGGAACACCAGUGGCGAAGGCGACCACCUGGACUGAUACUGACACUGAGGUGCGAAAGCGUGGGGAGCAAACAGGAUUAGAUACCCCAGUAGUCCA